GGAGAGGUGGCCGAGUGGUUGAAGGCAACAGUCUUGAAAACUGUCGAGGUGAAUAGCCUCCGUGAGUUCGAAUCUCACCCUCUCCGCCA
RNAcentral lists this transfer RNA (89 nucleotides) under Candidatus Uhrbacteria bacterium. RNAcentral's name for it is "tRNA-Ser". It matches the Rfam family "tRNA". Rfam says of the family: Transfer RNA (tRNA) molecules are approximately 80 nucleotides in length. The record is from RNAcentral. Lineage: Bacteria; Candidatus Uhriibacteriota.